RNAcentral lists this transfer RNA (63 nucleotides) under Parvasolenaia rivularis. RNAcentral describes it as "Solenaia rivularis tRNA-Asp". Lineage: Eukaryota; Metazoa; Mollusca; Bivalvia; Unionida; Unionidae. The record is from RNAcentral.
AGAAAGUUAGUUUAUUAAAAAUUUAGGGUUGUCAACCCUGAGAAGCUUGGGUAGCACUUUCUU